AGCGAAUAGAUACCCCGGGUAGUCCCAGCUGUAAACGAUGCAGACUCGGUGAUGAAUUGGCUUAUUGCUAAAUUCAGUGCCGCAGGGAAGCCGUUAAGUUUGCCGCCUGGGGAGUACGGUCGCAAGACUGAAACUUAAAGGAAUUGGCGGGGGUAGCACCACAAGGGGUGAAGCCUGCGGUUCAAUUGGAGUCAACGCCGGAAAUCUUACCGGGGGUCGACAGCAGAGUGAAGGUCAAGCUGAAGACUUUACCAGACAAGCUGAGAGGAGGUGCAUGGCCGUCGCCAGCUCGUGCCGUGAGGUGUCCUGUUAAGUCAGGUAACGAGCGAGAUCCCUGCCUCUAGUUGCUACCAUUAUUCUCAGGAGUAGUGGAGCUAAUU
This 380-nucleotide ribosomal RNA is filed under the name uncultured bacterium. Its description in RNAcentral is "bacterial SSU rRNA". It matches the Rfam family "Archaeal small subunit ribosomal RNA", at positions 723 to 1097 of the family's 1478-position model. The record is from RNAcentral.